RNAcentral lists this ribosomal RNA (207 nucleotides) under uncultured bacterium. RNAcentral describes it as "partial 16S ribosomal RNA". It matches the Rfam family "Bacterial small subunit ribosomal RNA", at positions 568 to 774 of the family's 1533-position model. The record is from RNAcentral.
AGCGUAGACGGUUAUGCAAGUCUGAAGUGAAAUGCGGGGGCUUAACCCCUGAACUGCUUUGGAAACUGUAAAACUGGAGUGCAGGAGAGGUAAGUGGAAUUCCUAGUGUAGCGGUGAAAUGCGUAGAUAUUAGGAGGAACACCAGUGGCGAAGGCGGCUUACUGGACUGUAACUGACGUUGAGGCUCGAAAGCGUGGGGAGCAAACA